RNAcentral lists this ribosomal RNA (1437 nucleotides) under metagenome. Its description in RNAcentral is "SSU rRNA". It matches the Rfam family "Eukaryotic small subunit ribosomal RNA", at positions 341 to 1801 of the family's 1831-position model. The record is from RNAcentral.
UCACAGUGGUUUUGACGGGUAACGGGGAAUCAGGGUUCGAUUCCGGAGAGGGAGCCUUAAAAACGGCUACCACAUCCAAGGAAGGCAGCAGGCACGCAAAUUACCCAAUGGUCGAAGACCGAGGUAGUGACGAAAAAUAACAAUACAAGACUCUUCCGAGGCCUUGUAAUUGGAAUGAGUACACUUUAAAACCGUUCCCGAGGAUCUAUUGGAGGGCAAGUCUGGUGCCAGCAGCCGCGGUAAUUCCAGCUCCAAUAGCGUAUAUUAAAGUUGUUGUGGUUAAAAAGCUCGUAGUUGGAUUUCGGCGGGUAGUGGUCGGUUUGAAUUGCUUCAACACUGGCUUUUUUACCCGUGUGUUUUGCCAGAAUUUAACGGGUGAUCUUCGCCGAUUGUCCGUUAGAACUGGCAGGUUUACUUUGAAGAAAUUAGAGUGCUCAAAGCAAGCUUGAUUGCUUGAAUAUUCGUGCAUGGAAUAAUAGAAUAGGAAGUCGUUUCUAUUUUGUUGGUUUUCGGAAAUCGACUUAAUGAUUAAUAGGGAUAGUCGGGGGCAUUUGUAUUCAAACGACAGAGGUGAAAUUCUUGGACCGUUUGAAGACAAACUACUGCGAAAGCAUUUGCCAAGGAUGUUUUCAUUAAUCAAGAACGAAAGUAGAGGUUCGAAGGCGAUUAGAUACCGCCCUAGUUCUAACCAUAAACGAUGCCAGCUAGCGAUCUGCCGGUGCUUGAUUUUCUGGCCCGGCAGGCAGCUUCCGGGAAACCAAAGCUUGUGGGUUCCAGGGGAAGUAUGGUUGCAAAGCUGAAACUUAAAGGAAUUGACGGAAGGGCACCACCAGGAGUGGAGCCUGUGGCUUAAUUUGACCCAACACGGGAAAUCUCACCAGGCCCGGACACCAGAAGGAUUGACAGAUUGAUAGCUCUUUCUUGAUUUGGUGGGUGGUGGUGCAUGGCCGUUCUUAGUUGGUGGAGUGAUUUGUCUGGUUAAUUCCGAUAACGAACGAGACUCUGUCCUGUUAAAUAGAUCCAACCUAGUUGUAGGGUUGGAAUGUCUUCUUAGAGGGACUGGUGAUUAUUAGUCACACGAGAUUGAGCAAUAACAGGUCUGUGAUGCCCUUAGAUGUUCUGGGCCGCACACGCGCUACACUGAAGUGAUCAGCUAGUUCUUCCCUCUCCGAGAGGAGCGGGUAAACUGUUGAACCCACUUCGUGGUAGGGAUCGGAGCUUGCAAUUAUUCUCCGUGAACCAGGAAUUCCCAGUAGGUGCAAGUCAUAAGCUUGCAUCGAUUACGUCCCUGCCCUUUGUACACACCGCCCGUCGCUACUACCGAUUGAGUGUUUUAGUGAGGACCUCGGAUUGCUUGCCUGGCGGUUAACGCUGCCUAGCUGGCGAAAAGACGUCCAAACUGUAGCACUUAGAGGAAGUAAAAGUCGUAACAAGGUU